Molecule: ribosomal RNA, 500 nt
Filed under: uncultured bacterium
Lineage: Bacteria
Description: partial 16S ribosomal RNA
Rfam family: Bacterial small subunit ribosomal RNA
Source: RNAcentral
AUUGAACGCUGGCGGCAUGCCUUACACAUGCAAGUCGAACGGCAGCACGGGUGCUUGCACCUGGUGGCGAGUGGCGAACGGGUGAGUAAUACAUCGGAACGUACCUUAUCGUGGGGGAUAACGCAGCGAAAGCUGUGCUAAUACCGCAUACGCCCUGGGGGGAAAGCGGGGGAUCGCAAGACCUCGCGCGAUUAGAGCGGCCGAUGCCUGAUUAGCUUGUUGGUGGGGUAAAAGCCCACCAAGGCGACGAUCAGUAGCUGGUCUGAGAGGACGAUCAGCCACACUGGGACUGAGACACGGCCCAGACUCCGACGGGAGGCAGCAGUGGGGAAUUUUGGACAAUGGGGGCAACCCUGAUCCAGCAAUGCCGCGUGAGUGAAGAAGGCCUUCGGGUUGUAAAGCUCUUUUGUCAGGGAAGAAACACCGGCUCUAACACAGUCCGGGAAUGACGGUACCUGAAGAAUAAGCACCGGCUAACUACGUGCCAGCCGCCGCAGUAA